GGAUUUUGGGAGAUUUCAAAUUAGGAGUUUUCGGAUUUUAGGUGAAGUCGAAAUCAAUGGCGAACAAACGUAGAACGAUGAUGGUGACCUAGUGGACGUCGGACGGUGUGACUGGUGGACACUGGACGAUGGUGACUAGCAAUAGGGAUUUUUGAAGAUUUUAGAUUAGGUAUUUUCAAUUUAGGGUUAGGGAUUUUUUAAC
Molecule: long non-coding RNA, 202 nt
Filed under: Gossypium raimondii (Peruvian cotton)
Lineage: Eukaryota; Viridiplantae; Streptophyta; Magnoliopsida; Malvales; Malvaceae
Description: long non-coding RNA (GRAI_LNC003971)
Source: RNAcentral